Molecule: long non-coding RNA, 3159 nt
Filed under: Homo sapiens (human)
Lineage: Eukaryota; Metazoa; Chordata; Mammalia; Primates; Hominidae
Description: HSALNT0127708
Source: RNAcentral
CUUGGACUUUUGAGUUAAUGCUGGAGUGAGUUAAGACUUUGGGGGACUGUUGGAAGGGCAUAAUUGUGUUUUGAAAUGUGAGGACAUGAGAUUUGGGAGGGGCUGGGGCAGAAUGAUAUGGUUUGGCUGUGUCCCCACCCAAAUCUCAUCUUGAAUUGUAUUUCCCAUAAUCCCCACGUGUUGUGGGAGGGACAUGGUGGGAGGUAACUGAAUCAUGGGGCCUGUUACCCUCAUGCUGUUCUCGUGAUGGUGAGUGAGUUCUCAUGAGAGCUAAUGGUUUUAUAAGGGGCUUUUCUCCCUUUUGCUAGGCACUUCUUGCUGCCACCAUGUGAAGAAGGAUGUGUUUGCUUCCUCUUUUGCCACAAUUGUAAGUUUCCUGAGGACUUCCCAGCCAUGCUGAACUCAGAAGAGGAAGUUGGAGGCAUGUGAGGUGCAGGAAGGAUUCUAAGCAGUGGUGCUGGCUUUGAAGAUGGAAGGCAUUGUACCUCAAUGAAUGUGACUGGUUUCUAGAAGCUGAGAGUAGCCAGCCCCCAGCUGACAGCCAACAAGGAAACAGGGACCUUGGUUCUCCAACCACAGAAAAUAGAUUCUACCAACAAGAAUGAGCUUGAAAGCAGAUUCUUCCCUCGCACUUAAAGAUUCAUUCUCCAUGCCUCAGUACUCUGUGCUAUUUCCCAGAAGGCUGAUCCUUAAGGACUACACCUGUGGGAUCCCUUGUCACUGGCAAUGGGACAAUGGGAGGUGCCAGCAGAAAAUCAGAGUGAUGAAGAAUGAGGUCUGGGUAUUUAUCUCCUGGCUUUCUGUAAGUAUACAAGGUGAUAAAAAGGAAAAUGAUUCCUAACAACUUGGGGGUAUGUGGAAGCAGGGGAAGGGGGUGCUGUGGGCUGAACUGUGUUUCCUCAAAGUCAUAUGCUGAAGCUCAAACUCCUAAUGUGACUGUAUUUGGAGCAGGGGCUUUUAAGAAGUAAAGUUAAAAGAUGUCACAAGGUGAACGUCACAAUCCAUUGGAAUAGGUGACCUUAUAAGAAAAGGGAGAGAGAUCUCUUCCUCUCCAGACACACACACACACACCCACACACACCAAGGAAAGGCCAUGUGAGCACGUGGUGAGAAGGCAGCCGUCUGUAAGCCAGGAAGAGAGACCUCACCAGAACUCAACCAUGUUGGCACCUGAUCUCGAACUUUCCAGCCUCUAGAACUGGAAGAAAGUACAUUUCUGUUUAAACUACCAGGUAUGUGAUAUUUUGUUAUGGCAGCCUGAAAAGACAUACAUGGGCAGGGAAGACUUCUCAGAGGUAUUUCUUGAGCUGAGACUUUUUGUUUCCUAGUGGUGGGAGGUAGGGUUUUCCAGGCAGAGAACACCAUGCAAUAAGGCACAAAAUUUCAGGGAAUAGUAUGUAUCAAGCACUUGGAUCAUAGAGUGCUUGGAAGGGAAGUGGAAGAGGCUGGAAAAGCAAGCAGAGGCCAGAUGUUAGGGUUUAAUGUCAAAGGCCAAGAAAUUUGCCUAAAAGAAGUCCAGUGGGAAACUACUGAGGGUUCUUAAGUCAUCUGAAGUAUGUAAUAGUAUCCAUGUUCAAAAGACCAUUCUUGUGAUUGUGUGAGAGGCCAGACUAAUAAAGAGGUAGAGAAUAAUUUAACUCUGAUUUUUGAAAUGUGCCCGAUGGAGCCCUCAGGGUCCUAAGUCAAGGAUCACCAUGAAGCUGGAGGAGGAGGCUAAGUGGGCAGGGUCAUGGGAUCCCAUGUCUACUUCACCCACAUAAGUUCUGUGGCCCUAGACUAGACCUGGAAUCUUUGUUACACUCAGGACAACUAGUCUAGAAUAUUUUACUUCAAAGACUGUACUGAAAGAGGCUACAUAGGGAGGUCAAAGGCACCUGCUUCAGCUCUUUUAGCUAUGGUGAAAAAGUCAGGGAAUUAUCAAGAAUUCUGAGAGAAAUGUGACUGGACCCAUGCCAGGAAGAUGUCAGAACUACUAAGAAAUACCAAUGGGGUGGACUGUUAUCAACCCCAGCUGAAUGACAGGCCAUAUGCAAAGUCCUAGACUAUUAUGGCUCUUAGAUUUUCAGACUACACCCAGUUGAUUAAAUGAGUCUGUGUGAUAAAUUGAAAUGUAAAAGGUUAUUUUCAUGCCAUGGAGAUCUGCUCUUGUCGGAUAUAUUUUCAUCUGAAAAUAUCGAUUAAAAUGAUUAAUAUAGACAUAACAAAAAUGACUAACUUGCUUUAGAGAAAAGAUGAUAUCUCUUAGGAAUGAGCUUUAAAAUCUCACGAGCGGUUUUUGGCAACUGCAUAGCAGAACUAAAAAGAAUGCAGGUUAAGUAUCUCUUACCCAAAAUGUUUCACAAGUAAAAUAAAACAGAAGUGUAUCAGAUUUCAAAUUUUUUUUAAAUUUUGGAAUAUCUGCAUAAACAAUGAGAUAUCUUGGGGAUAGGGCCCAAGUUUAAACAUAAAAUUAAUUUCUGUUUCAUAUACAGCUUAUGUACAUAAGCUGAUGGUAAUUUUAUACAUAUUUUAAAUAAUUUUGUACAAGACACAAAGGUUUGAAUGCAUUUUUGAAUGCAACCUGUCACACGGUCAGGUAUGUGAAAUUUUCCACUUGUGGCAUCGUGUUGACACUCAAGAAGUUUUGGUUUUGGAGCAUUUUGGAUUUUGGAUUUUAUGUAUUAUAAGAUUGUAAGGUAAAAACUAUGCCCAGGAGAGGGCAGUGCAGCCUUCUGUAAAGUUAACUAAUAGGCCCAAUAGAAAAUAGUGUGAGCAUUAAGAGCAGAGAUGUUCUAAUUCAUGAAAACUAUUUUGUGUUAAGUCACUUUACCUUUUUAAAACAUGAGAGACAUACUGCCACUUCUAUGUCCCUUGAAGAGACAGCACAAGGGAGAGCUGCUUAAGUCUUGUAAAAAAAAAUUCUGGAAAACUUUAGCUCCCUAAAACUGAAGAAUUGUAUCAAAACUGAAGAACUGUAUCAGUUCUAGCAGGUUUCUACUGACUUUCCUAUUUUAAACAAUUAUCUUUGUUUCUGAAAACUGAUUCAAUAAACUAGUUUUUAAAAGAGAUUAAUGUCUAAAAUUUUAUUUGUUUAUAUUCUCCUUUAAUUUACACUGUACACAUCUCCAAGAGCUGAUGAAAGUAUUCUAAACGGUUUCCUGUGGAAAUCUGUAGUACAGA